UUGUCUUUAGUUGCUACGCAAGAGCACUCUAAAGAGACUGCCGGUGACAAACCGGAGGAAGGUGGGGAUGACGUCAAGUCCUCAUGGCCCUUAUGGGUAGGGCUUCACACGUCAUACAAUGGUGCAUACAGAGGGUUGCCAACCCGCGAGAGGGAGCUAAUCUCAGAAAAUGCAUCGUAGUCCAGAUCGUAGUCUGCAACUCGACUACGUGAAGCUGGAAUCGCUAGUAAUCGCGGAUCAGAAUGUCGCGGUGAAUACGUUCCCGGGUCUUGUACACACCGCCCGUCAUACCAUGGGAGUGGGUUUUGCCAGAAGCCGUUAGCCUAACCGCAAGGAGGGCGACUGCCACGGCAGGGUUCAUGACUGGGGUAAAGUCGUAACAAGGUAGCCGUAUCGGAAGGUGCGGCUGGAUCACCUCCUUU
This 422-nucleotide ribosomal RNA is filed under the name Polynucleobacter sp. Bod2. Its description in RNAcentral is "bacterial SSU rRNA". It matches the Rfam family "Bacterial small subunit ribosomal RNA", at positions 1105 to 1533 of the family's 1533-position model. RNAcentral also lists the same sequence under 2 other names. The record is from RNAcentral. Lineage: Bacteria; Pseudomonadati; Pseudomonadota; Betaproteobacteria; Burkholderiales; Burkholderiaceae.